CAAAGGGCUAAAUCAUCAUCUCAUGCCCAGUUGUCUGGCACCACUUCAUUGCUAGAAGCUUGCAGUUCAAUCUCAUCUGUACAGGUACAAGGUAAGAGGAUGGUUUUCUUUGAGAACAUCUUAAGGGUGGUGGUUUCCACUGGCAAAAUAACUUCAAAGAAGCAUACUUGAAUGAGAAUAUCUGUUUUUAAGUUAGGAAAAAAGCUUGAAUAAACUGUUCUGGUAUGUAAAAAGAAAAAAAAAGGACAUCCAUUUGCUCCAAUUCAACCAUAUUUACUGAUAACUCUUGAUUUCCUUGUGAGUAAAUAUAUCUUUCAGACUUACUCCAUUGAGGAAAUGACCUCACCAUCCUUCCAUUUGCUCAAGCCAUAGAUCACACACACAAAGAAAUGAGCCAGUCUUAUUUUGUUUCUCCCUCAUUCCCAUUUCCAAUAUAUCAGCAAAUCUUGGUACCACCUAAAAAAUGUAUCUAUAUCUGUUUAAAUUUUCUUUAUUUCCAAUGCUUUCCUAGUCAUAAUCACCAUCCCCAGCUUGGAUUAUUUUGAUAGUGUUCUAACUACUAUCCUUUCUUGGAUCUUGCUUGAUUAUCCAUUCCUCACAAAGCAUUCCAACUGAUAAUUUAAGAAUGCAGAUUUCAGUAUGUCACUAUGCCCUCCUCCACUGUGAUUUUUACAUUGUCCAAUGUGUUUUCAUCACAUUUGUAGUAAAAUAGAGUUCCAGUGUUGUCUAUAAGGCCCUAUGUUAUCUAUAAGGCCCUUGACCACCACCUGGGUCUCUGAAAGUACCUAUUGUCUCUGUCUUGUUUGCUCACCAAGCUACAGACAUGCUAAUUUUCCCUUUCAAAUGGAAGAGUCUUCCUCCAGAUCUUCAUAUGGCCAACCUUCAUUGUUAUUCAGGUUUUAGCUCAAAUGUCACCUCCUCAGAGACAGAUCAUCCAAAUUAAUAAACUGUAUGCAAUAUCAUCCCAAUCAAUCUCUAUUAAAUAGUGCUGUUUUAUUUUAAAAUUGCACUUAUAUUUAUCUAAAUAUUUCUUAUUUAUUUUCUAACCUAAUUUAUGGCUUAUAAAAUCCAUGACUUUGUCUUAUUAGCAUUUAAUCCCAGUACUUAAUAUGCCAUCCCUAUCACAUAGUGGAUGCUGAAAACAUAUUGGGUGAAUUAGUGUAUAUAUGCAUAAUUGUAUAAAUGUAUGUGUAUGCAUGUAUAUGUGUAUGUAUGUAUACAUGUAUUUACAUAUAAUUGAUGUAUGUAUGUAAUAUGUGUGUAUGUAUACACAACAUGUUUGGUACUUCACUAGGUGUUGAGUAAGGCAAAUAAAACAUAGUUUCUAUAUUCAAGUAGUCCAUAAUCUAGUAGCAGAAGAGACAAUGAAACCGGGACAUAACUCUUCCUUCCACUAACAGGCAACUCUGUUUAAGCAGCAGAAGGGCUCUCAUUUAUUACGGGUAGGACAGGUUCAGAAGCCCACAGCUGGAUAUAGAAGGAAGGAGAUCAAGAAGGUGGAUGUUUCACACAAAUGGAGAGCUUGAAAGGGGAGAAAUCAGGUUUUAGGGAGUUACUAGGGUGGGUCCACAGAAAAAUAAUGGGGAGGGAGAAGGAAAUUACAUGGAAAUAAGAUAAUUUUUUUUUUCAAACUGAAGGAUAAAGUCAAUGAGCCAUGUCCUUGGCUUGCCUAAGUAUUUAUUCCAGCUCCAGGGUCUAUAAUUAUCUAACUUAAAAUUAGGCAAUUGUAGUGAUAUUUAAAAGUUAUGUAGUAUCCAGGGGGAGGGUAAUUAAAAUGUAAUGUUUGUUUUUCCAACACAGAUCCAUGAAUUGGGAAGGCACAGCACCUCUUCCUCAUAUCUGUCUGCUCCUUAGCAACAGUGGUAGUGGUACAGCUUUUCUUUCCAUGCCUUUUUUUUCUCUUAGACCCCUGGAACUUUUGUUGAGAAUUCAAAGUCACACAUAUACAGGAUAAUGUGAGUUAGGAAUCACCAUGAAGACAAGUAUAGUUAGGUCAAGGUUGGGUUCCUUGAAAUCCACAAAAUAGGGCUUUUUCUGUGAAGUCUGAAUAGUUGAUAUAGAUGGUUUCUAAAUGUAGUAUGGAUUAAACAUUUCCUGGGGAGACUGUUAAAAUGCAGAUGACCAUAUGAAAUACCAAGGAUUUAAUUAAGUAGUUAAGGGAUGGUCCCAGGAAUAUGCAGUUAAGAACACAGAAGAUACAACUUGUUUUGAGAAUAUGUUUUGAGAAACAAUAGCUUAUAUUGAUGUCAUUAUUACCUUUAAGAAAGAAUUCUGAGACGAUAUAGUUGGAGGGAUACCUUGAAAGUGGAGCUGUAUUUCUGUGGUAAUAACAGAAAAAAAAGACAUGUCUUUGGAUAAACCCGACGAGAGGCCGAACGGCAAUUCCAGUUCCUUCCUGUUGACUGGUUUCCCAGGCUUGGAGGCAGCUCACCACUGGAUUUCCACACCCUUCUUUUUCAUCUACAUCUCUGUCCUUUUAGGCAACAGCACCCUCCUCCUUCUCAUUAAGGAAGAUCACAAUCUUCAUGAACCUAUGUACUAUUUCCUGGCCAUGCUAGCAGCCACAGACUUAGGGCUGACCUUGACCACGAUGCCUACGGUGCUCAGAGUCCUCUGGUUGGAUCACAGGGAGAUUGGGAAAGUAGCCUGUUUUUCUCAAGCCUACUUUAUACACUCACUUGCCUUUGUAGAGUCUGGUGUUUUGCUUGCUAUGGCUUAUGAUCGUUUUAUUGCCAUUCGCAACCCCCUUAGAUAUACCUCCAUACUCACUUAUUCUCAAGUGCUGAAAAUUGGACUGGGAGUUCUGCUGAGGGGGUUUGUAUCUGUUAUCCCUCCAAUUGUACCCCUUUAUUUUUUUCCCUAUUGCCAUUCCCAUGUCCUCUCUCAUGCAUUCUGCCUUCACCAGGAUGUCAUCAAACUGGCCUGUGCUGACACCACCUUCAAUCGGC
RNAcentral lists this long non-coding RNA (2948 nucleotides) under Lynx pardinus (Iberian lynx). Lineage: Eukaryota; Metazoa; Chordata; Mammalia; Carnivora; Felidae. The record is from RNAcentral.